RNAcentral lists this ribosomal RNA (468 nucleotides) under uncultured bacterium. RNAcentral describes it as "partial 16S ribosomal RNA". It matches the Rfam family "Bacterial small subunit ribosomal RNA", at positions 28 to 507 of the family's 1533-position model. The record is from RNAcentral.
GACGAACGCUGGCGGCGUGCUUAACACAUGCAAGUCGAACGGAAAGGCCCUGCUUUUGUGGGGUGCUCGAGUGGCGAACGGGUGAGUAACACGUGAGUAACCUGCCCUUGACUUUGGGAUAACUUCAGGAAACUGGGGCUAAUACCGGAUAGGAGCUCCUGCUGCAUGGUGGGGGUUGGAAAGUUUCGGCGGUUGGGGAUGGACUCGCGGCUUAUCCGCUUGUUGGUGGGGUAGUGGCUUACCAAGGCUUUGACGGGUAGCCGGCCUGAGAGGGUGACCGGCGACAUUGGGACUGAGAGACGGCCCAGACUCCUACGGGAGGCAGCAGUGGGGAAUAUUGCACAAUGGGCGGAAGCCUGAUGCAGCAACGCCGCGUGCGGGAUGACGGCCUUCGGGUUGUAAACCGCUUUCGCCUGUGACGAAGCGUGAGUGACGGUAAUGGGUAAAGAGGCACCGGCUAACUACGUG